RNAcentral lists this ribosomal RNA (253 nucleotides) under uncultured bacterium. RNAcentral's name for it is "partial 16S ribosomal RNA". It matches the Rfam family "Bacterial small subunit ribosomal RNA", at positions 524 to 776 of the family's 1533-position model. The record is from RNAcentral.
UACGUAGGGUGCAAGCGUUGUCCGGAAUUAUUGGGCGUAAGGAGCUCGUAGGCGGUUUGUUGCGUCGGCUGUGAAAUCCCGAGGCUCAACCUCGGGUCUGCAGUCGAUACGAGCAAACUAGAGUGUUGCAGGGGAGACUGGAAUUCCUGGUGUAGCGGUGAAAUGCGCAGAUAUCAGGAGGAACACCGGUGGCGAAGGCGGGUCUCUGGGCCGAUACUGACGCUGAGGAGCGAAAGCGUGGGGAGCGAACAGG